ACAGAGACCAAGGCCCUAUGGAGGAUCCUACCCAGGUUUAUGAUGACUAUGGCAUUGACUGGAAUGGACCACACAGUCUGGAUGGAGGCCUGGUGUCAGUCCCUGAGGUUCAAUUGGCACGUGAGCUCUCGGAAGAAGAACUUAACAUGUUGCCACCUGUAGGAGUGUCUGUAUCUGAUGCAAUACAGUGUUAUUUAGAAACCGUUGAAAUUGUGUGCAGCAUGACAACAACAAACUGAUGCAAAACUUGAGAUUUAUUAAACUCUUUGAGAACAACAGCCAUUGAAAAUGAAUGUUAUUCACAUAAUCAGCAGUCCCUGGGCCAGAACAGAUGUUUGUGAACAGUAAAUUCUUUGGGACGCCCUCUAUGAACUUAACUGAGCUGACAUGGAUGCUACAUGCAGGGAAUUCUUUUAAAAAGUAAAAAAUUAAAGUAGCCCAAAUCCUGUGUCUGCAGUAUUUAUGGAAGAGAGAAGUGCUUUUUCAAAUUCACUGUAUGUUGUGAAAUGAUGUGGCAGCUUCAAUGUUUCGAAGCAGGUGGCAGAGGUGGGAAGGGUCCUUUCUGAAAUCUCCAGCCUCAAUUCAGCAGGAAGCCUCUCCCAGCCAACCCAGAAUUUCACCAAUUGAGCCAGAGUACCUGGUGAAGCUAAAACAAAUACAUGGAAUUAAAUCAGAAUGGCUUGCAAAAGUGUACACUCCUUCAAAUGUUGAUUAUUUUGCCACAUCAACAAAGUUUAUCCAAUAAACAUACAUCAUUUAUGAAAGCAAAUUUAUUUGUGCAUGUCAACGUUUUCAGUUGCAGUUGCUCUCAGUGCAUAAUUGUCUUUAGUUGAAUGGCAAAAUCAGCUAAUGAUCUAAAUGGACAGUCACCCAAAACAUACAGCUAGUAACAUACAGAACUAGUAAAAGUGGCUUAAAGACAAAGACAAUGUUUCAGUAACCACAACCUAACAGUAAUUGAGAUAUAAUAAACAGAAUACUAAAUCACAACGCCCUCAUCUAAAUCCUAUUUAUUUUUAAUGGGCAAAGCUGAAACAGUAUGUGUGUAUGUAGGAUAGCCUUCACACACAGUUCUCUCAGGAGUAAUGGGUCAAGAAACAGUCCACCUUAUUCCUGGAAAUAACAGUUGUCAACCUGUAGUAAAAUAUGAAAUUGCAUAGGAUUUUUCUCUGUGUUUGCAAUAACCAGUUUGACAUAUAGCCAGAAGUCUAUGGUGACAAGACAUCUAUGGUAAUAAAACAUUUGAUGUGUUUACUUAUAAACCACUUAAAAUGAAUGUAAAAUGAACCAGAGCACAAAACUGAUAAUUCCAUCAA
Molecule: long non-coding RNA, 1316 nt
Organism: Scatophagus argus
Lineage: Eukaryota; Metazoa; Chordata; Actinopteri; Scatophagidae
Exons: 2
Source: RefSeq, a predicted model, not a curated record